Monomorium pharaonis (pharaoh ant) is the source of this 3308-nucleotide long non-coding RNA. RefSeq lists it as uncharacterized. Lineage: Eukaryota; Metazoa; Arthropoda; Insecta; Hymenoptera; Formicidae. The transcript is spliced from 2 exons. The record is from RefSeq and is a predicted model, not a curated record.
UAUAAUCUAUUAACUGUAAUUUAAUUUAGUUAAAAAAUAUAUUAACUUACCCAGCCCUAAGAAUUAGUCAGCUAACCGCGCGGUAUUAAUGUACUACGGUCGUUUGAAAUUUGAAAUGAGGCAAAAAGGGAAGGUUUGAGCACGUACACUGUAGGUUUGAAUGAACGAAACGAGAAAUAUUAGCUCAGUGUAUAUCGGCUUUUACACAGGUAAACACGCGUUUGUUUAGAGCGGCCCGAGACUUCUCACAACUAUUGACUUAUUAACGCAUUGACGUGCAAGGUAUAUUAUAUUUUUGAAUGUGUUUUCGUAAACUGAGUAACAUACUUGUUCUAUUAUUGUGAAACUAAGCAAAGAAGAAAUGAAGAAUUAUCGAGAGCUGAGUUUGUUAGGUAAGAUAACAAUUGAAUUUUUAUACAAUAAUUUCCAUUUAUAAGAACACGUGGUAGCACUUAAUUUGCAUUUUUGUAUCACAUGUUUGUUUUAUAGAUUGAGUAUUGAAGAACAAGAUCUGUAUUUACAACAAUCAUUAGAUGACUUAGAUGCAGAAAGUUACAUAGAGUCGGAUAGUGACGAGGAGUAGUUGCCUCAGCAAGAGCACACCUCAAAACAAGCAACUACUGAUAUAGUAGUGUUAGAUAACACUAAGAAAUAACCCGAAAUCAAUCUUUACUAUAAUAAAUACAAACUUGGAGUCGACGCAAUGGAUCAAAUGAUUGAAAGGUAGUACAAGCCAGCGGUGUACUUUGAGAUGAUCGCUUUUCUAUAACAUCUCUUUUCUAUAACCUUCUCGUCUGUUAACCGCGGAAAUUGACGGAAACGGAGGCAGCUGCUGUUCCUCGGGCUCUGGUUGAGCCGCGCAAGGUUGCGUUGUUCGUGAUCCCGACCCGAUAGUCUUUUACGAUAUCCGAGGCGUGGAAGGCGUUUUCGUGCCUUAGGAAAAAGAUGUGGGCAAUAUGCCAGUUUUCCAGAUGCCUGCUGGCAAGGCUGUGAUAACCCUCUGGUUGACCGGAAAGGGUAUGCUUGGGGACGGCAAGUACUGACCGGGCGCUGGUAGCGGUAAAAGCAGGAUGAGAGCCGCCGAGAGAGAAAAUUAAAAAAUGCUUGGAUCGAAUUCUCCAUUCUAACAGUGGAGGGACGUGAAUUUGCAUUGAAUUAGGAGCUUGGCUUGUAUCACCGUGCAUCUCAAAAUAGUAAGGCGGAUUAUUAAAUAUUUUCGCGACUUCUAAAAGCCUUACAGGGAAUUUCGACUUCGUAGUCGAAAGUGUUAAUGAUCCUAGUACAGGCUUUAUCAUUAAUACAGAUUAUUAACAAAUUUCCGGCGAUGACUUUAUAGCGAGCGUGAAAGAUGUCCGGUUUUUAUUUUAGGGUUAAAAACCACGAAGCCCAGGUUUGUACGUGAUGGAAUCACCACCGAUUCUCUCUUCUUGAACGGGAAGGCGCUAUUACGCCAGGUAAUAUUAUUUCCGUAAUUUAUACAAGUCUUCUGUAAAAAAUGACGAUCCCAGUAUAUCUUGCGAUAUUAUAGGAAAAUUAUCUGGAACUAUGUAAAAAACCACGAGAACAUCGACUACGCGAGCCUUUAUAAAUCCUAGCAUUGACGGCUUUUUCUGUAAUCCAGGUAAGUGAGAAUAUGUCGUUACGAUUUAUAGGUACGUUUUUACUAAUGCAGCCUUUUUUUAGGAUGUUGGGCUAUGCGCCACAUACAUGCUACUGAUCGGACGGAAGGAUGGAGACUUGAGCUCAACGACGUACAUCUCCGUUAUCUUUCGAAGGAUGUGAAGAAACCUGGGAUGCACUCUAAUGGGAGUACGGGACGAGCGUUCCCAAGAACUCGGUGUGUCCGAUACCUCCGGGUAAUUUCCCGGCUUCUGUGUGAUAACAGUAUUCUCGUUAUUAAUCUUUGUACGAUUAUUAUUAUUUGAGUAAUUCGAGCGGUAUUGUCGUUUGCGACAUUUAUUAACUAGAUGACCGAAAUUCUUGCAAUAGCUACAGAUUUUACAUUCACUAUUAUCGCCACUGUUUUCCGAGAUGGAGAAAUUACUUUCAGAGAGAAUUAGACGUAUCGCGUUGAAGCAUUGUAACGGGUACGACAGUCGAGUCGUCGCGUAAGUUUCAUGUACUCCUAUAGCGGGCUUCCUCUCUUUCAAGUCGUUUGCGUAUAAUUACUUACGUAUAAUUACGUAUUAUGGUUUUAGAACAUGCAUCCGAGAAGUUAAUAUAUCCUGCUUUUAAUUCUAGGCGGUAUUCACGGGGAAGUCCCUUCGUAAAAAGCUUCUAACUCGUACAAAUCUAUUGAGUAUAUUACUGAUUCAGUCAGCGGAUGAUUAAGCGUAGUUUGAUCACCUUCGACAAUCGCGGUUCUCAAAUCUUUAAUGCAACUAAUGUAAUCUAAUAUGUGUUCUCCCAGUUUUUUGUAGGCGAUGCGAAGCUGUCCGCGAUAAUAGUUCGCGCUUCUACGUGAUCCGAAGGCCCUUUUUAAAGCGUUGAGAAAUUUAUCAAAUAUAUCACUGUAAAGUGAGUUACGUCCUCUACCGCUAAGUAUGCAUGGUGCAAUAAUUUAUUACGUAAAAUUUUUAUGAAGAGCGCUUCGUCGACUAACGAGAUUGAUUCUUUUGCUCUUUUGCAGGCGCGAACAAACUACAAUACGGGUACAUUAUGCCUGUCAUAUUUAGACUCUAAUUCGAGUGUGUCGAGAAUAUAUGAUUUAAAAUAGGCGGAGUUGCUAGAGAAAGCAGAUGUGUCGCGAGGAAACUGUGCUGAAGAGUAUGCGAAGUGAAACGGCCGCGGCGUCGGGAAAGUUGGUGCAACUCCAUUAUGUACGUCGCACAGAGUAAAUGUAGAAGAUACAACAGUUUGGUUAAUGGACUAGGCGCUACUGAUAUUAUAGCUUUUAGCAUGUUUUUGAGGAGCUCAGUACCACAGCUUAAUUCUUUUUUUUUUCUUACGUCCUUAAUAGCUUUUUCAUAAUUGGUGUGAUCGUCGGCCCUUAAUUCGGAGAGCCUCGCGUAUUCGGAGCUGCGAUGUAAUUGAUCGUCUGUGCCGGCCAUCUCUAUCAAAUUUGCUGGUAUUUAUAUUAAUGAGUAUUUAUUAUAAAUCUAAGCUCGAUGCAAUAAAGAAAAUAAUCGAAAAUUAUCUCUUUACUUCGUACCGCAAGAGAUUUAGAUAUAAGUAUUUUUGUAAUUAUAGCGUUUAAUAAACAAUUCUAACAAUAUAAAUAUUUUAAUUUAUAUACAUAAUUCUAUCUUUUCUUCCAGCCAAGAAUCAAUUUAUAAGUAUCGAGGAGCUCGCAGAAAAGAAAAAAAAAA